RNAcentral lists this ribosomal RNA (1470 nucleotides) under Triticum aestivum (bread wheat). RNAcentral's name for it is "partial small subunit ribosomal RNA". The record is from RNAcentral. Lineage: Eukaryota; Viridiplantae; Streptophyta; Magnoliopsida; Poales; Poaceae.
AUGGCGUCGCCGCAGGUACCACCCCUCCUCCUCCAUGUCCUCCCCUUCCUCUGCGCCGUCCUCCUCCUCGCGGGGACCGCAGCCGCGCGCCGGCACGCGCCGCCGCAGGCGGGCGCGGCGGGGCAGAGCACGUACACGGCGCCCAGCUGCCGGGAGCACACGGCGUCGCUGCUGGACUUCGGGGGCGUGGGCGACGGCAACACCUCCAACACGGCGGCGUUCCGCAAGGCGGUGGAGCACCUGUCGCAGUACUCUGGCGAGGGCGGCGGCGGCGGCAUGCUCUACGUGCCCGCCGGCCGGUGGCUCACCGCGCCAUUCAACCUCACCAGCCACUUCACGCUCUUCCUCCACGCCGACGCCGUCAUCCUCGGCACGCAGGACGUGACCCAGUGGCCGGUCAUCGACCCGCUGCCCUCCUACGGCCGCGGCCGGGACCACGCCGGCGGCCGGUACGCGAGCCUCGUGUCCGGGAGCAACCUCACCGACGUGGUGAUCACCGGCAACAACGGCACCAUCGACGGCCAGGGCGCCACGUGGUGGUCCAAGUACAAGUCCGGCAAGCUCAAGUACACGCGCGGGUACCUCAUCGAGCUGAUGCACACCGACGGCGUCUUCAUCUCCAACGUGACCCUUGUGAACUCGCCGGCGUGGAACAUCCAUCCGGUCUACAGCCGCAACAUCGUCGUGUCCGGCGUCACCAUCCUCGCGCCCACCAAGUCGCCCAACACGGACGGCAUCAACCCGGACUCGUGCUCUCAGGUGCGCAUCGAGGACUGCUACGUCGUCUCCGGCGACGACUGCGUGGCCAUCAAGAGCGGGUGGGACGAGUACGGCAUCGCCGUCGGCAUGCCCAGCGAGCACAUCGUCGUGCGCCGCCUCACCUGCGUGUCGCCGACGAGCGCGGUGAUCGCGCUCGGCAGCGAGAUGUCGGGCGGCAUCCGGGACGUGCGCGCCGAGGACAUCACCGCCAUCGGGACCGAGUCGGCGGUGCGGAUCAAGACGGCGGUGGGCCGCGGCGCGUACGUGCGCGACGUCUACGCGCGACGGAUGAGGCUUGACGGCAUGAAGCGCGUCUUCUGGAUGACCGGCGACUACAAGUCCCACCCUGACGACGGCUACGACAAGACCGCCGUGCCCGUCGUCGAGAACAUCAGCUACCAGGACGUGGUGGCCACCGGCGUCUGGAAGGAGGCGGCGAGGAUGCAGGGCAUCCAGGGCGCGCCCUUCAAGGGCAUCUGCAUGGCCAACGUCACCGCCGAGAUGACCAAGGAGAGGAAGGUGUCGUGGAACUGCGCCGACGUCGAGGGCGUCUCAGCCGGCGUCACCCCAGCGCCAUGCGCGCCGCUGCAGGGCACCCACGCCGGCUCCUGCCCGUUCCCCACCGACACGCUCGCCGUCGACCAGAUCACCGUGCAGCAGUGCUCAUACUCAGUCGCACCUGCUACUACUUCAAUGGCUGGGACAAAGUAG